This 253-nucleotide ribosomal RNA is filed under the name uncultured bacterium. Its description in RNAcentral is "partial 16S ribosomal RNA". It matches the Rfam family "Bacterial small subunit ribosomal RNA", at positions 524 to 776 of the family's 1533-position model. The record is from RNAcentral.
UACGUAGGUGGCAAGCGUUGUCCGGAUUCACUGGGCGUAAAGCGCGCGCAGGCGGUCUUCUACGUCUGGGGUGAAAACCCGGGGCUCAACCCCGGGACUGCCUUGGAUACGGGAAGACUUGAGGAUCGGAGAGGCAAGGGGAAUUCCACGUGUAGCGGUGAAAUGCGUAGAGAUCGGAAAGAACACCAACGGCGAAAGCACUCUGCUGGGCCGACACUGACACUGAGAGACGAAAGCUAGGGGAGCGAAUGGG